RNAcentral lists this transfer RNA (70 nucleotides) under Hyperopisus bebe. RNAcentral describes it as "tRNA-Arg". It matches the Rfam family "tRNA". From Rfam's summary of the family: Transfer RNA (tRNA) molecules are approximately 80 nucleotides in length. Their secondary structure includes four short double-helical elements and three loops (D, anti-codon, and T loops). Further hydrogen bonds mediate the characteristic L-shaped molecular structure. tRNAs have two regions of fundamental functional importance: the anti-codon, which is responsible for specific mRNA codon recognition, and the 3' end, to which the tRNAs corresponding amino acid is attached (by aminoacyl-tRNA synthetases). tRNAs cope with the degeneracy of the genetic code in two manners: having more than one tRNA (with a specific anti-codon) for a particular amino acid; and 'wobble' base-pairing, i.e. permitting non-standard base-pairing at the 3rd anti-codon position. The record is from RNAcentral. Lineage: Eukaryota; Metazoa; Chordata; Actinopteri; Osteoglossiformes; Mormyridae.
AGGCAGUUAGUCCAAAGAAAUACCUCUGAUUUCGGCUCAGAAAAUUAUGGUUCAAGUCCAUAACCGCCUU